This 423-nucleotide ribosomal RNA is filed under the name uncultured bacterium. RNAcentral's name for it is "bacterial SSU rRNA". It matches the Rfam family "Bacterial small subunit ribosomal RNA", at positions 355 to 774 of the family's 1533-position model. The record is from RNAcentral.
UAGGGAAUAUUGGACAAUGGGGGGAACCCUGAUCCAGCCAUGCCGCGUGGAGGAAGACUGCCCUCUGGGUUGUAAACUCCUUUUAUAUGGGAAGAACCGUCCUCAUUGAUGAGUGACCUGACGGUACCAUAGGAAUAAGCACCGGCUAACUCCGUGCCAGCAGCCGCGGUAAUACGGAGGGUGCAAGCGUUAUCCGGAUUCACUGGGUUUAAAGGGUGCGUAGGCGGAUAUGUAAGUCAGUGGUGAAAUCAACGGGCUCAACCUGUUAACUGCCAUUGAUACUGUGUAUCUUGAAUAUGAGAGAGGUCGGCGCAAUGUUGCAUGUAGCGGUGAAAUGCUUAGAUAUGCUACGGAACACCGAUUGCGAAGGCAGCUUACUAUUUCGUAAUUGACGCUGAGGCACGAAAGCGUGGGUAGCGAACA